RNAcentral lists this ribosomal RNA (194 nucleotides) under Ophiostoma minus. RNAcentral's name for it is "5.8S ribosomal RNA". The stretch from base 29 to 180 matches the Rfam family "5.8S ribosomal RNA". From Rfam's summary of the family: 5.8S ribosomal RNA (5.8S rRNA) is a component of the large subunit of the eukaryotic ribosome. It is transcribed by RNA polymerase I as part of the 45S precursor that also contains 18S and 28S rRNA. Functionally, it is thought that 5.8S rRNA may be involved in ribosome translocation. Lineage: Eukaryota; Fungi; Ascomycota; Sordariomycetes; Ophiostomatales; Ophiostomataceae. The record is from RNAcentral.
CGUCUGAGAAACAAACAAAAACAGCCAAAACUUUCAACAACGGAUCUCUUGGUCUGGCAUCGAUGAAGAACGCAGCGAAAUGCGAUACGUAAUGCGAAUUGCAGAUUCAGCGAGUCAUCGAAUCUUUGAACGCACAUUGCGCCCGCCAGCAUUCUGGCGGGCAUGCCUGUCCGAGCGUCAUUUCCCCCCUCAGC